This 20-nucleotide microRNA is filed under the name Spodoptera frugiperda (fall armyworm). RNAcentral's name for it is "sfr-miR-10501-3p". The record is from miRBase by way of RNAcentral. Lineage: Eukaryota; Metazoa; Arthropoda; Insecta; Lepidoptera; Noctuidae.
UUUGGCAUGGAGGUAGGUCU